GACGAACGCUGGCGGCGUGCUUAACACAUGCAAGUCGAACGGAAAGGCCCUGCUUUUGUGGGGUGCUCGAGUGGCGAACGGGUGAGUAACACGUGAGUAACCUGCCCUUGACUUUGGGAUAACUUCAGGAAACUGGGGCUAAUACCGGAUAGGAGCUCCUGCUGCAUGGUGGGGGUUGGAAAGUUUCGGCGGUUGGGGAUGGACUCGCGGCUUAUCAGCUUGUUGGUGGGGUAGUGGCUUACCAAGGCUUUGACGGGUAGCCGGCCUGAGAGGGUGACCGGCCACAUUGGGACUGAGAUACGGCCCCGACUCCUACGGGAGGCAGGAGUGGGGAAUAUUGCACAAUGGGCGGAAGCCUGAUGCAGCAACGCCGCGUGCGGGAUGACGGCCUUCGGGUUUUAAACCGCUUUCGCCUGUGACGAAGCGUGAGUGACGGUAAUGGGUAAAGAAGCACCGGCUAACUACGUG
RNAcentral lists this ribosomal RNA (468 nucleotides) under uncultured bacterium. RNAcentral's name for it is "partial 16S ribosomal RNA". It matches the Rfam family "Bacterial small subunit ribosomal RNA", at positions 28 to 507 of the family's 1533-position model. The record is from RNAcentral.